Molecule: ribosomal RNA, 398 nt
Filed under: uncultured delta proteobacterium
Lineage: Bacteria; Deltaproteobacteria
Description: bacterial SSU rRNA
Rfam family: Bacterial small subunit ribosomal RNA
Source: RNAcentral
AAUGGGCGAAAGCCUGAUCCAGCCACGCCGCGUGUGUGAUGAAGGCCCUCGGGUUGUAAAGCACUGUCGGGAGGGACGAAGCCUUCGGGUUGACGGUACCUCGCAAGAAAGCACCGGCUAACUUCGUGCCAGCAGCCGCGGUAAUACGAAGGGUGCAAGCGUUGCUCGGAAUUACUGGGCGUAAAGCGACCGCAGGCGGUCCAGUAGGUCGGGUGUGAAAGCCCGGGGCUCAACCCCGGAACUGCAUUCGAAACCCCUGGACUUGAGUACUGGAGAGGAGGGCGGAAUUCCUGGUGUAGAGGUGAAAUUCGUAGAUAUCAGGAGGAACGCUCGCGGCGAGGCGGCUCUCUGGCAGAUACUGACGCUCAUGGUCGAAAGCAUGGGUAGCGAACGGGAUU